AGUGAACGCUGGCGGUAGGCCUAACACAUGCAAGUCGAACGGCAGCACAGUAAGAGCUUGCUCUUACGGGUGGCGAGUGGCGGACGGGUGAGGAAUACAUCGUAAUCUACUUUUUCGUGGGGGAUAACGUAGGGAAACUUACGCUAAUACCGCAUACGACCUACGGGUGAAAGCAGGGGAUCUUCGGACCUUGCGCGAUUGAAUGAGCCGAUGUCGGAUUAGCUAGUUGGCGGGGUAAAGGCCCACCAAGGCGACGAUCCGUAGCUGGUCUGAGAGGAUGAUACGCCACACUGGAACUGAGACACGGUCCAGACUCCUACGGGAGGCAGCAGUGGGGAAUAUUGGACAAUGGGCGCAAGCAUGAUCCAGCCAUACCGCGUGGGUGAAGAAGGCCUUCGGGUUGUAAAGACAUUUUGUUGGGAAAGAAAAGCAGCAGGUUAAUACCCCGCUGUUCUGACGGUACCCAAAGAAUAAGCACCGGCUAACUUCGUG
This 492-nucleotide ribosomal RNA is filed under the name uncultured bacterium. Its description in RNAcentral is "partial 16S ribosomal RNA". It matches the Rfam family "Bacterial small subunit ribosomal RNA", at positions 29 to 507 of the family's 1533-position model. The record is from RNAcentral.